Molecule: non-coding RNA, 652 nt
Organism: Sturnus vulgaris (Common starling)
Lineage: Eukaryota; Metazoa; Chordata; Aves; Passeriformes; Sturnidae
Source: RefSeq, a predicted model, not a curated record
GAUUCUGUGCACCUUAUAUGUGAUCUUCAGAUUAGAAAUUAUUCUCCUUUGCUACAAUCACCACUUUGCAGAAACACCCUAUUUCCAUUCCUUCUCCUCUCAAGAGCAGCUCAUAGUUCCAGAGUGGCCAGACAUCUGUACAUGGUUAUCUUCACUGUGGUCCAUAAGAAUGCCCAAGAAGUCAGGACACUACCAUGCACCUGGAAACACUGCAGCAUGGACAGAGAAGUCGAAGUAUUUGAAAACAGAUCAGAAAGACUGAUUUGAUUUCUGUAUUUCUAAAAGAAUCUCCUCUAUGAUUUCUGCAACAUUGCAUACAACCCAACUGAAUGGGAAUCCAAGGUCUGCUGCCAGUGACUGCUGAGAACACAGGAGGGUGAAAGAGGACAAGACUCCAGCUAGAUCUUGCAUAAUUCCAGCUGCUGAAAGAAACAUACAGAGAGCUGAAAUCAGAGGUGAUGUAAGAGUUCUUUACUGGAAUGAGAAGACAAAAAAAUGUAUUAAGAUCAUUUUUCUGGCUGAUGGAAGCUACUGGUCUUCAGAAGUCAAGUCUGUAAGUAGUGUCUGGUUAUAAAUUUAAGUGAAAGAUGCUGUAAGAAGACAUCAGAACAAUCUCAGGGAGGAGAAGCUCUGAGAGCUGCUGCUUUCCUGC